This 31-nucleotide non-coding RNA is filed under the name Mus musculus (house mouse). The record is from RNAcentral. Lineage: Eukaryota; Metazoa; Chordata; Mammalia; Rodentia; Muridae.
UAAGACAUUGGAGAGCGCCUGGAUAAGGUGA